UCGAACUCAUGACUUCCACCACGUCAAGGUGACCACGACUGAUCCUCAAAGGUAAUAGAUGGAAAAAAUAGCAUGCCGUAAUAAAAUUGACGGGAGGAGGACGGGUCAUUCACAUUUGAUUUGAUGGUCAGAGGCGAAUUAACCCAUUACAAAAUUGGAAAUUUUGAAUUUAAUCCAUUUUCUAAUCUAUUGUAUUCUUUUUCGAGAAUGCCGCCACUCGGACUCCAACUGAAAAUAGCGAGUUUUCUAAUCUAUUUUAUUUUUUUUGUUGUGCCUGGGCUAUUAGGCAAAGAGUUUAUAGGAGAGUUUAGAGUUUAUAGGAGACUAAUCUAAGAGUGAAUACUUCCUCAUUGACCGCGAAAUAGCCCUUGUAUAGAACGAAAUAGGUCUUGUAAUAGUAUAUGCAUGUAACAUACUAUCAAAAUGCAAACAUUGACCGCAACCAUGCACGUACACUCAACGCAAAUAACAUAUUACAUGUUUUACAUAUUUAUCAACAAACAAUCAUAAUUGUCACAAUAAACAUAGUUCUCUCAAAAAUGAAAAUAGUUUUUCACAAGUAAUCGUAGUUCUCACCAUAAACAUAAACAUAGUUGUCUCAUAAAUGAACAUAGUUUUGACAACUAAAGAGAAACAUGAUCAAGCUAAUCAACACGUUCAUCUAGUCCGAGUCACCUUCACAUAGUAACUCAUCAUCAUCAUUAUCAUCCCCAGCAAUAACAACUCCCUUCCCUUUCUUAUCCACACUAACCUUACCAACAGGUAAAUCGGCAACAAGAGCCUUCAUCGUCUCCAUCUGUGCCUCUUCCAUUUUUUCUUGUAACUCUUCCAUUUCAAUCCUUCUCUUUCUUGCCCUAACCUACUGCAAAUAUUCUUCCCAUGAACCCUUAGGGUAUUUCGCAUUCAGAUCAACCACAAAACCUAAGCGAUCUCUCUCCUCCCUCAACCUUUGUUUCUCCAACUCCCUCUCCUCCUGCAAUUUCCUCCUAUUUUCUCUCUUCUCAUUUGAAGUUAGAGGUCGUGGAUACUUGUUUCUGUUCUGCCUCCAAUACUUAAUAAUAGUUUCUCUCGCAUAAAGUCCUUCAGGCUCCACUCCAGUCUCAUGAAACCAUAUCUUGGUAUAUUUCCCCCCAAAGCAAGUUGCCGUCAGGGAUAGGCACAUCAUACUCCUUUCUAAUCUUUUUUAUUAGUUCUUGUUUUUUUCUUGACUUCCAAGGUUCUGAUGUAUUACCCAACUUUAAUAACAAAUCACAACGACCAGAAACAUCUUCCCAAUCACAUGUCCUUCCC
This 1290-nucleotide long non-coding RNA is filed under the name Setaria viridis. Its description in RNAcentral is "long non-coding RNA (SVIR_LNC000643)". The record is from RNAcentral. Lineage: Eukaryota; Viridiplantae; Streptophyta; Magnoliopsida; Poales; Poaceae.